Molecule: unclassified non-coding RNA, 2606 nt
Filed under: Megachile rotundata (alfalfa leafcutting bee)
Lineage: Eukaryota; Metazoa; Arthropoda; Insecta; Hymenoptera; Megachilidae
Description: probable ATP-dependent RNA helicase DDX11, transcript variant X2
Source: RNAcentral
ACACGCAUGUCAGUUGCUGUUGGAUACGAACUCCACUAAAACCAAUCGUAACUCAUAUGCGCAGAAUGAACCUAUUUCAUUGAAUGGUGAGGAUAACCUCUCAUUGAAUGAAAUUUUGUAUACACGAGAAGUUGGACACAUUCCUGAACUAAUUCAGCAUUUACUAACUUCACAUGCCUUGUUCGAUUGUGUUCGUUUGAAUUUAAAAGACAAUGACAUUUAAGUAAUCCAAACACAACAAUUGUGAUAUGUCUGAUAUUGUCAAACAAGUAGUUAAUAUAAUUUUAAAUAAUUAAUACUCAGUAUGCAAACUACUGAAGAAUUCCCUUUUCCUUUUCCUCCCUAUUCUAUACAAGUUCAAUUUAUGAAAGAAUUGUAUAAUUGUUUGGAAAAUGCUAAGUUGGGAAUCUUUGAGAGUCCAACAGGUACCGGUAAAUCUAUGUCAAUCAUUUGUGGUGCUCUAAAAUGGCUUUUAGAUCAUGAAGAGUUUCAAAAGAACCAGUUGACAAAAGCGAUUUCUGAUUUUGAAGAAAAAAUAAAAAAGUGUACUAACUCAUCCACCAAUUGGUUUUCUGUGCAAACUGAACAAAUACAGUUAAAUAGCGAGAAACAAAUUCUUCAGACAAAGUUAAAUAGUAUUCUACAAUAUGAACGUAAAAAGAAUGGUCUAAAAGAAGCAGUUAAAAAUGUGGAUAAGAAAAAGAAAAGAUUUGGUCCUAGUAAACCAAAUCAAGGAAAAACUCAAACAGAAACUCAAACAGAAAAGAAUGCACCAGUUGAUGAAGAUAAUAAAGACACCAUUAUAGAAGAAGAAUUAUUGUUAGAAGAUAUAAUGCAGCAUUCAGAAAAUUCAGAAGAUGAAGACAGUGAAGAAGAAACCUUUGCAAACACUAAAAUUUUUUUCUGUUCUAGAACCCAUUCACAAUUAUCACAAUUCAUAAGAGAACUUAAAAAAAGUCCUUAUUCAAAAAAUGUAUCUGUUGUUCCAUUGGCAUCUAGGCAAAAUUAUUGUAUCAAUAAAAAUGUAAGGAAACUAAAACAUCAAAAUUUGAUUAAUGAACAGUGUUUACAAUUACAAAAAAAGAAAGCAACUGUAAAAGAUGAAAAAGAUGUUAAAAGAAAGAAGGUAGCAACUAGUUGCCCUUUUAUGCCAGGAAAUCAAGACUUACUGAUAGGAGAAACAUUAAUAGAGAUUCAAGAUAUUGAAGAGAUUGUACAAAAAGGGGAGGACUAUAAGACUUGUGCUUAUUAUGCAGCAAGAAAAGCUGUACCAACUGGUCAAUUAAUAUUAGUACCAUAUAAUUCUGUACUUCAUAAAAAUACUAGAAUUAGUUCAGGAAUUAAUUUAAAAGGAAAUAUACUAAUAAUUGAUGAAGCACAUAAUUUGCUUGAAGCUAUUGAAAGAAUGCACAGUGUUAUGAUUACAGGCAGAAAUUUAUUGCAUUGUCAUAGUCAACUUUCGCAAUAUCUGAAAAGGUUCCAAACUUUAUUUUCUGCAAAAAAUCUUUUAUACUUAAAUCAAUUAAGUUUUUGUUUGAAAAAACUUUUAACUAUUUUUGGUGCUACUACAAAAUCAACUCCUGAUGAUAGUAUAAGUGCAGAAACAAUUUCAAAGUCCUAUAAAAUCGAAGAAUUUGAAAUAAAAACAGAAAUUGAUACAAUAAAUAUAUUUGAGUUGUUAAAAUUUAUUAAACAUUCUCGAUUGAGUCAUAAAUUGCAGAGCUUUGUAGAACAGUAUGAUACUAAAAUAAAAGUUUGUAAACCUGAUGAAAAAACAUCUGGUAUUAAGCAUUUCUUACAUUCAAUUAAAACCAAAAGUUCAGAAUGUACCACAGAUACAGUUGCAGCUGUAGUGGAGGAAGAACAAUCAAAUAAUCCUCUGUUAUUAAUAAUAAGCUUCUUAGAAUCUUUACAAAAUAGAUGUACUGACGGACGCAUAUUUGUUAUCCCUGGUGCAACUCUUGGACAAAGUAUUAUAAAAUUUUUUUUAUUGAAUCCAGCAGCACACUUUCAUGAUAUUGUUCAAGACUCUAGAGCUGUAAUAUUAGCUGGUGGAACAAUGGCACCAAUGAAUGAAUUUACAGAACAAUUAUUUAUAGCAGCAGGUGCUGCACCUGAAAGAAUUGUUACAUUUUCAUGCGAUCAUGUAGUACCUAAAGAAAAUAUAAUAUGCUCAAUUGCAACUCAUGGUCCAACUGGUGUUGAAUUUGAAUUUAAUUAUCAAAAUCGACAAAAUAUAAAAUUGAUGGAUGAAUUAGGAAGAGCAUUAUUAAAUGUAUGUAAUAUUGUACCUGCUGGUAUUGUAGUAUUUUUACCCUCUUAUAAUUUUGAGGAACUGGUAUAUAAACACUUAGAAAAAUCUGGUAUCAUAACAAAAAUUUCUGCAAAGAAACAUGUUUUUCGGGAACCCAAAUCAACUUCUCAGGAAGGUGUAUCAUUGUGGUAGGAAUGCCUUACCCAAAUAUUAAAUCACCAGAACUCCAAGAAAAAAUGAAAUACUUAAAUGAAAAUGUUAAGGCAGAUGCUGGUCAAAAUUUAUAUGAAAAUUCAUGUAUGAAGGCAGUCAAUCAGUGCAUUGGACGAGCAAUUCGACAUAUUAAUGAUUA